GUCGAGGUAGCCGAGUUGGUCCACGGAGCGCGCCAUUAGAAGAGAGGGCGUUGGUUCGAAUCCCACUCUCCGCA
RNAcentral lists this transfer RNA (74 nucleotides) under Salix viminalis (osier). The record is from RNAcentral. Lineage: Eukaryota; Viridiplantae; Streptophyta; Magnoliopsida; Malpighiales; Salicaceae.